GACGAACGCUGGCGGCGUGCCUAAUACAUGCAAGUUGAGCGCUGAAGGUUGGUACUUGUACCGACUGGAUGAGCAGCGAACGGGUGAGUAACGCGUGGGGAAUCUGCCUUUGAGCGGGGGACAACAUUUGGAAACGAAUGCUAAUACCGCAUAAAAACUUUAAACACAAGUUUUAAGUUUGAAAGAUGCAAUUGCAUCACUCAAAGAUGAUCCCGCGUUGUAUUAGCUAGUUGGUGAGGUAAAGGCUCACCAAGGCGAUGAUACAUAGCCGACCUGAGAGGGUGAUCGGCCAAAUUGGGACUGAGACACGGCCCAAAAUCCUACGGGAGGCAGCAGUAGGGAAUCUUCGGAAAUGGAGGAAAGUCUGACCGAGCAACGCCGGGGGAGUGAAGAAGGUUUUCGGAUCGUAAAACUCUGUUGGUAGAGAAGAACGGUGGGGAGAGUGGAAAGCUCAUCAAGUGACGGUAACUACCCAGAAAGGGACGGCUAACUACGUG
Molecule: ribosomal RNA, 497 nt
Filed under: uncultured bacterium
Lineage: Bacteria
Description: partial 16S ribosomal RNA
Rfam family: Bacterial small subunit ribosomal RNA
Source: RNAcentral